GAGGAUGUAGCUCAGUUGGCAGAGCACAUGGUUGUGGCCCAUGUGGUCGCGGGUUCAAGUCCCGUCAUCCUCC
Molecule: transfer RNA, 73 nt
Filed under: Venenivibrio stagnispumantis
Lineage: Bacteria; Pseudomonadati; Aquificota; Aquificia; Aquificales; Hydrogenothermaceae
Rfam family: tRNA
About the family: Transfer RNA (tRNA) molecules are approximately 80 nucleotides in length. Their secondary structure includes four short double-helical elements and three loops (D, anti-codon, and T loops). Further hydrogen bonds mediate the characteristic L-shaped molecular structure. tRNAs have two regions of fundamental functional importance: the anti-codon, which is responsible for specific mRNA codon recognition, and the 3' end, to which the tRNAs corresponding amino acid is attached (by aminoacyl-tRNA synthetases). tRNAs cope with the degeneracy of the genetic code in two manners: having more than one tRNA (with a specific anti-codon) for a particular amino acid; and 'wobble' base-pairing, i.e. permitting non-standard base-pairing at the 3rd anti-codon position.
Source: Rfam by way of RNAcentral